GCGAGAUUGAUGGAAUGGUAGACAUGCAGGAUUUAGGUUCCUGUGCCGCAAGGCGUGAGAGUUCGAGUCUCUCAUCUCGCACCA
RNAcentral lists this transfer RNA (84 nucleotides) under Comamonas testosteroni. RNAcentral's name for it is "tRNA-Leu". It matches the Rfam family "tRNA". From Rfam's summary of the family: Transfer RNA (tRNA) molecules are approximately 80 nucleotides in length. Their secondary structure includes four short double-helical elements and three loops (D, anti-codon, and T loops). Lineage: Bacteria; Pseudomonadati; Pseudomonadota; Betaproteobacteria; Burkholderiales; Comamonadaceae. The record is from RNAcentral. RNAcentral also lists the same sequence under 2 other names.